Molecule: ribosomal RNA, 471 nt
Filed under: uncultured bacterium
Lineage: Bacteria
Description: bacterial SSU rRNA
Rfam family: Bacterial small subunit ribosomal RNA
Source: RNAcentral
GACGAACGCUGGCGGCGUGCCUAACACAUGCAAGUCGAGCGGAAGUAUUUGAGGAGCUUGCUUUUUGGAUACUUUAGCGGCGGACGGGUGAGUAACGCGUGAGUAACCUGGCCUGUACAGGGGGAUAACAGUUAGAAAUGACUGCUAAUACCGCAUAAGACCACAGUACCGCAUGGUACAGGGGUCAAAGAAAUAUCGGUACAGGAUGGACUCGCGUCCCAUUAGCUAGUUGGCGGGAUAACAGCCCACCAAGGCGACGAUGGGUAGCCGACCUGAGAGGGUGAUCGGCCACACUGGGACUGAGACACGGCCCAGACUCCUACGGGAGGCAGCAGUGGGGAAUAUUGGGCAAUGGGCGCAAGCCUGACCCAGCAACGCCGCGUGAAGGAAGAAGGUCUUCGGAUUGUAAACUUUUGUCGCCGGGAAGAGCAGAAGACGGUACCUGACGAAUAAGCCACGGCUAACUACGUG